AUAGGAAAGAAACCAAAACCCGAAAGUGGCCUUGUGCCAGCCCGAGCACUUGGGUUCCCAGCAAAAGACACAAGGUACAGCCCCAGUUGGAAACUCCCAGCCUCAAUGAGGAAAAACGGGGUUUUCCAGAGACCUGUCCCCUUGAGGUUUAAAAGCGUGUCCCGUGGGAGCUUCGCUUUCGCUUCUCUAAGGGGUUGGAGCUGCAAGAGCCCAGAUCCUCGCCGAUCCCGGGGCACCUGUUCGAUCUCUGAGUUAAUCACUGGGGCACCUUCACCUCCCCGCACACCUCCUUCUCCUGGUCACCUGCGUCCUCCCCUAGCGCUUCCUGUGCACCUGGACCAGGACCAGAGGAGGGCGCGGAGUCCCAAAGCACCGCAGAAGGAAUGAGUUAGCCUGAAUCGGGGCGAUUCGAGGCAAAGACUUUCCAGAUGACCUCUAAACCGCCUUGGCAAAGGCGGGCGACUAGGAUCUAAAAGCAUCGGUUGCUAAUGUGUCCACAGAAGCCACAGAUGUGUAGGGCGAAAACUGGGCUAUUGCAAGCGGACGCCAGGGAGGAGGCGUCGCAGCUCUUGCCGCGGAUGUGGUGGUGGACGACGCCAAGUCAGUCGUCUUGUUUAAAAAAAAAAAAAGGAAGUAAAGAAUGAUUAAGAGGGCCACGGGCCACGCCCUCAGCCUCUCUAACCUCUCUAGUCUCCUUCCUCUCUGUCUUUUGUACAUGCACCUGCCCAGGUGAGACCUCAAAGAAAAAUAACUCGGUGUGUCCACCUAAUCUGGUAAGUGCUAUCUUUGGACCUGAUAAUCAAAGCCCAAAUUAGGUGGAGAAAGUGGAGACUGACAAUAGAUGGUAACAAUGACUGCCUCGUGUGCAUUUAUCUGAAUUGGCUAAUAAAUCAACUUAUCUAUCUUGACUGUCUGUUACAGAAGGGUUAAUUUUUUUUUCUAGGUCUGAAUUAUUUAGGUAUUUUCUGUUUUCAUUUGAUUUCUGAUAUUCUGCAGAAAUCCUGCUUAAAUGAAGGUGGGUAAUGUAAAGUAAUCACAGUGAUAAUAGUGUUAUGGCUAUCAUUUAUCUAGCAUUUGCUCUGUACCAGUAUUGUGCUAAGUCUUUUAUGUAUGUCAUCUCAAGCAAAAUUUUCUGUGUGGUAGACAGUUUUGUUAUCUGCGCUUCACAGACGUAGGAACUGAGACUUCCUUAAGUAUCUGCCAGAUUCACUCUGCUGGUUAGUAACAGGGUUGGGACACAAACCUACUGUAAACCAGCUCUAGAGUCCGCACUUGGACCCCUGUGUUAGAAGUCCUGUGAACAAUGUAGACAUUGAUGCCAGGAGAGAGACAGGGUCACAUAUCAUGUGAAUGUGCCUUUGCCCCAGUAUGGGGACCUCAGGGAAAAUUUCUGGAGUUUGUGAAUUCUGAAUUGAGACCCGAGCAGGUCAAUUAACUUGGCCAUGUGAACAUUCCAGCUGCUAUAGUGUGAAUGAAGAAAAGAGGAAAAGAAAGAAGGGAGAAAAACAAUGAAAUAGAGAGUGAGGCGGUGUUGCUUAAGCCUGAAACUUGGAUUCCUAUUUCUCUUUUAGUCUCACUUCUCACAUCCAACCCACAGGCAAGUCCUGUCAACUGUACCUCUAAAAUAAAUCCCGAAUCUAUUCUGUGAAUUGCCUAAGGGUAAACCAUUAAAACCCUGCUGUCUAGGGGAUCUUCCAGCUUUCACUCUUGCCCACAACCCUUUCAUUCUCUUCAUAGCAGCAGCGUAUUUAUUUACAUUUGCCACCCUCUGUGACCACUCUCUGGCCACUUCCCACUGCACACUGGGCUUUCAAGGCCCUGUGUGAUCUGGGCCCCACUGUCCUCUGUGACUCCCUCUGGUACCCAUGGCCUUUGUCCUCCCUGCGUUCAGCCAAGCUGACUUCCACUUAGAACAACAUCUAGCACACAGCCAUGCAGAAAGUAACGGAAUGAGAGGGGACAACUGAGUGAGAUGCAUGAGCGAGAACAUGUGUGGAAGGGAAAGUAUGUGAAGGCAGGAGGGGAAUAGGAGGAAAGGGGAAGAGAACAAGGGAAACAAAUGAGCACAGGAGGCAGAAUGUGGUGGGGAAAGCCAAGUAUUUCCAUCUGACUGGAACCUAGCCUGGAGGUGGGGAGCAGAGAAACAGGAGGCCAGAGUAACUGGUAAAAAUGAAUGCUGUAACUAAACACAACUAGCUUGGCUAUUGAUUUAUUUAAAAUCCCUGACAGCAACAUUGAGGUAUGUAAUUGCACACAGCCUGCAGGUUUUUAAAAUUGUUUUAACACUUCAGGGACAGAUAAAAGAGCAUCCACCAAUAACUUGCUCAACAGGAAAUCCAUCUUCCUUUUUCAUGCAAUCAUCAUAAAACCUGGUUGAACAAGGGCUUGUGCAUAACUGAACUUUUGGGGAGCAUGAUUGGAAAUUAUUCAGAGCUCCAGGAGAGAAGAUGUAAAUUCCACACUGGACUCUGACCCCAAACGUGAAGAAUCACUCUGAAGACAAUAUUCGUAAAGCGUUUGGCAUUUUUAUUGUUAUAUGAAAAUUGGCACAUUCUAACUACAUCAAGUUAUUUUCUUCUAUGACAGAAUUAAUACCAUUUGAAAAAAAAUCCAAAUGUAGUCUUAAAUGCGUGUUUGCUAUUUUGAUAAACUGAACAUUAUUUUUCAUAAGACAGAUAGAUAGGGAAAAAAGAAAUGUUUUAUGAAUUUUUAUAUGCCAAUGUUUUAUAAUAGAGAAAUGGAGUGGUUACCUUUAUGUUCACUCGUAGACACAAGAAUUGUGCAGGAAAGCCAAUAUGUAAACAAAGUAGUAUAUAGUUUAUGAAUUAUAACCAAUAAAUAUUAAGAAGGAAGACAUUUUCAGAAUGAUUAGUACAAUGUACUGAAAAAAAUGGAAACAAAGCAAUAUGAAUAUCAACUUAAAGAGAGAAUUGUUAAAGAUUAACUAAUGUCUUUUUAAAUGUUCUACAAUCUUCAAUCUAAAUAGUUUAUUAUGGGUAACCUAAAAAUCUUUUCUUGAUAAUUAUCUGUAGUAUUUUUACCCAACUUAAUACAACCAUUCUUUGUAGUCUGAGAUCUGAAUGCUAGAUAUCAUUCUGUCUAUAGAUAUUUUCUGAAGUUCCUGUAACUUAAUUUUCCAGGCAUAAUAUUCAACAUAUUUCAAACACACACACACACACACACACACACACACACACACACGAAGGACUUCUUCAUGGGCAUGUGUUCUGUAUAGAACACAUGGGGCCUGUGCUUAGAAAGGGCUCUGGGUUUGAUUUAAUGCUCUGCAGUCACUGUCUUGAAAUUCUUAAUUAUUUUUGGACAAGGAGACUCUCAUUUUCACUUUGCAUUGGAUCCCACAAAUUCUAUAAUUGGUCAUGCAUACUCACACAUAUUAAGCUACACAUGGUGAAUAGCAAGGCAUGUCUUCAGGUGGUUUCAGUCUGGUGGAGAAAACAGAUGUUAAACAUGUAAUUUCAAGGAUAAAGAAUAUUAUGUAAAGGAAAUUUUGAGAUGUAUUUCAAAUCAGAGGAUUAAAGCAGUCUAGACUAAUUUUAAAAAUUAGUGGAACUAGCCUCCAGAAUAGGUUAAUUUACAUCCAAUGGAAAGAUAGCUAUAAGUGAAUAACCUAUAAUUCUAAAUCAGAUAUGUUUGAUUUUCAAGCCUGAGCUUGAGGAUGAAUUUUAAGUUUUGUCAAAUGACUGCCUAGCAUCUAUUUACAUGGUAAUGUUUUUUUGUUGUUGCAUUCCUGAAUAAACCACAAAUUUACCAUAA
Molecule: long non-coding RNA, 3774 nt
Organism: Aethalodelphis obliquidens (Pacific white-sided dolphin)
Lineage: Eukaryota; Metazoa; Chordata; Mammalia; Artiodactyla; Delphinidae
Exons: 2
Source: RefSeq, a predicted model, not a curated record